AAAAAAGAAAAGAACAAAACCAUGAAAAAGAAACAACAAACGAAAUCGAAGAAACAAAAGCGAGACAUAUUGUUUCUUGGAUUUGGUUUGUCGUUUAUUUUCAUGAUUUUGUGUGGUGUAGGUGUGCCGUUUUUUUUUCCG
RNAcentral lists this non-coding RNA (141 nucleotides) under Fragilariopsis kerguelensis. The record is from RNAcentral. Lineage: Eukaryota; Bacillariophyta; Bacillariophyceae; Bacillariales; Bacillariaceae.